CCUACGGGCGGCAGCAGUGGGGGAUAUUGCACAAUGGGGGCAACCCUGAUGCAGCGACGCCGCGUGGGGGAAGACGCGCCUCCGCGCGUAAAGCCCUUUCAGCAGUGAAUUGACGGUACCUGCAAGGGAAGCACCGUCUAACUCCGGUCCAGCAGCCGCGGUAAUACGUAGGUUGCGAGCGUUAAUCGGAAUUACUGGGCGUAAAGCGCUCGUAGGCGGUAUGUCAAGUCAAGGGUGAAAUCCCGGCGCUCAACGUGGGAACUGCAUUUGAAACUGGCAACCUGGAGUGUGUGAGAGGAUAGUGGAAUUCAAGGUGUAGGAGUGAAAUGCGUAGAUAUCUGGAGGAACACCGGUGGCGAAGGCGACUAUCUGGCACAUAACUGACGCUGAGGAGCGAAAGCGUGGGUAGCAAACAGGAUUAGAUACCCCUGUAGUC
RNAcentral lists this ribosomal RNA (436 nucleotides) under uncultured bacterium. RNAcentral describes it as "partial 16S ribosomal RNA". It matches the Rfam family "Bacterial small subunit ribosomal RNA", at positions 338 to 795 of the family's 1533-position model. The record is from RNAcentral.